Phoenix dactylifera (date palm) is the source of this 227-nucleotide non-coding RNA. Lineage: Eukaryota; Viridiplantae; Streptophyta; Magnoliopsida; Arecales; Arecaceae. The record is from RefSeq and is a predicted model, not a curated record.
AUUUCUUUUUUACCACAAAGUUCUUUGGGCUGAGUCCAACUUCGUCUCUGUCUGACUUGAUGUUGGCUGGGGAACAAUUCUGUGGAGAGUAUUGGUCAAAGCUUAAAGAAAAGUAUCAUACUCUGGCUGAGGAAGAUUUGUCACGUUAUUGUUUCUCUUCAGCAUACAUAGUGGCCCUACUGCAUGACAGUCUUGGUUUCGCUCUGGAUGAUAGGAGCAUUGUGUUU